This 87-nucleotide transfer RNA is filed under the name Streptomyces phage Mildred21. Its description in RNAcentral is "tRNA-Ser". It matches the Rfam family "tRNA". From Rfam's summary of the family: Transfer RNA (tRNA) molecules are approximately 80 nucleotides in length. Lineage: Duplodnaviria; Heunggongvirae; Uroviricota; Caudoviricetes; Stanwilliamsviridae. The record is from RNAcentral.
GGAAAUGUUAACGUUGGCAGCGUGGAAGGCUCUUGAAAAGCCUACGCCGGUGAAACGGCGCGUCGGUUCGAAUCCGACCAUUUCCGC